GAUGAACGCUAGCUACAGGCUUAACACAUGCAAGUCGAGGGGUAGCAGGGCCUAGCAAUAGGUUGCUGACGACCGGCGCACGGGUGAGUAACACGUAUCCAACCUGCCCUAUACUCGGGGAUAGCCUUUCGAAAGAAAGAUUAAUACCCGAGAGUAUAAUUAGAUCGCCUGAUUUGAUUAUUAAAGAAUUUCGGUAUAGGAUGGGGAUGCGUUCCAUUAGAUUGUUGGUGGGGUAACGGCCUACCAAGUCUUCGAUGGAUAGGGGGUCUGAGAGGACGCUGCGCCACACAGGUACUGAGACACGGACCAGACUCCUACGGGAGGCAGCAGUGGUGAAUAUUGCACACUGGGCGCAAGCCUGAUGCAGCCAUGCCGCGUGUGUGAAGAAGGCCUUAGGGUUGUGAAGCACUUUCAGCGGGGAGGAAGGGUAUACGCUUAAUACGUUUAUACAUUGACGUUACCCGCAGAAGAAGCACCGUCUAACUCCGUGCCAGCCGCCGCGGUAAGAG
This 509-nucleotide ribosomal RNA is filed under the name uncultured bacterium. RNAcentral describes it as "bacterial SSU rRNA". It matches the Rfam family "Bacterial small subunit ribosomal RNA", at positions 28 to 526 of the family's 1533-position model. The record is from RNAcentral.